UGUUAUGGCAGAUCGCGUGGGGAGACCUUCGGGUCUGCCGGUUCCUGCUAGCCGGUUCGCCAACCCUGCGCGGUCUGCCACCCAU
RNAcentral lists this non-coding RNA (85 nucleotides) under Pseudomonas indica. The record is from RNAcentral. Lineage: Bacteria; Pseudomonadati; Pseudomonadota; Gammaproteobacteria; Pseudomonadales; Pseudomonadaceae.